Molecule: ribosomal RNA, 465 nt
Filed under: uncultured bacterium
Lineage: Bacteria
Description: partial 16S ribosomal RNA
Rfam family: Bacterial small subunit ribosomal RNA
Source: RNAcentral
GACGAACGCUGGCGGCGUGCUUAACACAUGCAAGUCGUACGGUAAGGCCCUUUCGGGGGUACACGAGUGGCGAACGGGUGAGUAACACGUGAGUAACCUGCCCACAACUUUGGGAUAACGCUAGGAAACUGGUGCUAAUACUGGAUAUGUGCUCCUGCUGCAUGGUGGGGGUUUGAAAGCUCCGGCGGUUGUGGAUGGACUCGCGGCCUAUCAGCUUGUUGGUGGGGCAGUGGCCUACCAAGGCGGCGACGGGUAGCCGGCCUGAGAGGGUGACCGGCCACAUUGAGACUGGGAUACGGCCCAGACUCCUACGGGAGGCAGCAGUGGGGAAUAUUGCACAAUGGGCGCAAGCCUGAUGCAGCAACGCCGCGUGCGGGAUGACGGCCUUCGGGUUGUAAACCGCUUUCAGCAGGGACGAAGCUUUUUGUGACGGUACCUGCAGAAGAAGCACCGGCUAACUACGUG